UCUCGCAUUUGCAUUAUGUGCUCACGCACACCCUUUAUGUUGGUGAGUCUAAGAGAUGAAAAUUUCAUAAUAAGGGUACUUGCUAGUGCCUUAUCCGAAGUGACGAAUUGUUCAUCAAUAGCUUUUAGCAAGUCUCGGACAUUUUCAUGCUGGUCAACAGAACCACGUAUGCCAGCAGUCAUCUUAGUUUUGAUAAACAUCACGCUGAGCCGAUUGGAUCGC
Molecule: long non-coding RNA, 222 nt
Filed under: Musa acuminata (dwarf banana)
Lineage: Eukaryota; Viridiplantae; Streptophyta; Magnoliopsida; Zingiberales; Musaceae
Description: long non-coding RNA (MACU_LNC009873)
Source: RNAcentral